RNAcentral lists this long non-coding RNA (1889 nucleotides) under Acyrthosiphon pisum (pea aphid). RNAcentral's name for it is "uncharacterized LOC115034200". Lineage: Eukaryota; Metazoa; Arthropoda; Insecta; Hemiptera; Aphididae. The record is from RNAcentral.
ACAGUUCAUAACGUACAUUUUUUUAACCGACAAAAUUACUUUUAUUUCAUGUAUCAUCGUUUUAAAUGUUUCUAUCAUUUUAAUGAUGAUAGUUGCAUUUUCUAAUAUUACUUUUGUGUAUCAAAUACAGUCUUUAAAAUUGUAUCAAUUUGCAAGAUUAUGAAGCAUAUUUAUUACAACGAAAGAAACAAUGCGUAAGAAGUGGCUGCUGGCCAGUCUGCGCUCCACAAUCUAUACUGUAAGUCGAUUCAUUUAUUAUUAUAAUAGAUUUAUAUAAAUUAUUAAUUGGGUCGGAUGACCAACCAUUGUUAUUUUUGUCUGUUAUGCCAAAACUGUCAUAUGUUUUAUACUGUGCACUAAACAAUUUAAUAUAGAAAAUUUGUGUUAACAUUUUAUUCUAAUGUAAAAACUUACACACCCACAUAUAUACACACAUACACACACCACCACAUGCUAGCACUCACUGGUCUUGUUCGGCGAACCCGUCCAUUUCCUUUGAGUCUUGCUACACAUUUAUACACACUUAUUACACAUAUCGGUCGGUAAGCGUCAGGUAUUAUAGGUGUAGCGGAGUAAAUACGGCGAUUUCGGCGCACGUUCUAUUAUUGUAACGUUCCCGGCGCAAAAAUAAUUAAUAAUAACAUGAUGGCCGAUAUGUUGAAUUAGUGUUAUUUGUACAUAAUAAUAUACUUUAGAAGUUUAAAAUACCCACGAAAAAUCUUUUAAAAGUAUAACACAAAACUAAAAUCAUCUUUCUCCGUUUAAACCAGGGCCUUGCACCUGAAUUAACCCAAACCCUUAACACCCCUAAACACCCUUAAAAAAUCAAAUACCCGUAAUCAAUAUAACCGAAUGAUUAUGUUUUCAAAACACCCGUAUUAACCAAAAUCCGAAUAAUUUCAUUUUUACAAACUCUUCAUGUGAUAUAUAAUUUUAUACGUAUUUCUUGUAGCGAGUUUGAUUCUGUAGUUAGUUGUUUGAUAAUAAUAAACUAACAGGAACAAUCUUAUAAUCAAUCAGUACCUAAUAAAUAAUAUGAUUUAUUACUUUAUUAGUAUAUAAAUUGGACCCAAAUAUAGCUUUUAACAAUAUAAAAUAAUAAAUAUAGACAUAGUCUCAACAGAACUGAAUAACGUAUUGACAGUCGUGAACAAAAUAUCAAAUACUAAUAACUAAUAAUACUCAGUAUUAUUUGCCACAAACUUCCCAAGCGGUAUUAUUAUACAUUUAUACCUAAAUAUUAUGAGUAACGAAUAUCAUAAUUCGUGGCUAUAUUUAUUAUUUACCAGAUUUCCAGAAUUAUAUUGUUUCUCUACGACUCAACGCCCAUAGGGCCUAACUAUUUUAAACAUUUUAUUAUAUGCGUCGACUUCGCAAGUGGUAAAUUGUAUUUUUGUUAUUUGUAUCACACUACGACGCACCUCUCACGCAGUCAAUUGUCAACUUUUGUCGUUGUUAUUAUUAAUUCAUCGUAGAAUUUUGAAUUUGUUAGUAUAUUACCUAUAUUUUAAUUUAUUUUAUAAUAUUAACUAAUAGUUGUAUUAUAAUCAUAUUAUUAUUCAUGAUAGAACUGUAAAAGAAAGCCUAUUUAAAUGUUAAGUUAUCAUAAAAUAAUAAUCGAUAUUCUGUUGUAUAUGUAGAUAAUAUUAUGCAAAAUUAAAAAUAUAUCAAUCUGUUGUAACUGUUGAUUUUGCAAAAUACAUUCAUUAUGACGUUUAAUACGUGUUAUGGUUUUUUCUUUCAAAUGGGAUUGGGCUCUAUCAAGUAAACUAGUUUUUACCAUUUAAAGAUUAUGAUUUUUGAUGACUGUUUUUUGUUUGCUCAUCAAAUAGAAUAUUUUUCUGAAUAUUUUCAAUAAGUAUAAUUUUUUUUAAAUAUGCCACUAUGUU